Diorhabda sublineata is the source of this 133-nucleotide small nucleolar RNA. RefSeq annotates it as small nucleolar RNA SNORA13. The record is from RefSeq and is a predicted model, not a curated record. NCBI's taxonomy places the organism in Eukaryota, Metazoa, Arthropoda, Insecta, Coleoptera, Chrysomelidae. The transcript has a single exon.
GGUCUCUGUGUUACCUGAUUUCAGCAUCCAUCUGAAUUUGGGUGUCAAAAGAGACACACAUUAAUUUCCAAUUAUUCCACGAACAUUUAUACAUUUCUAAUUGUUUUAUGUUUACUAAUGAUUGGGAACAUUG